UGGGCUGGGCUACAACGAGCCUGCUCUGCAGGCCGCCUCGGCGUCUUCUCCGGGAAAACUCCGCCGCCGUCUCCUCUCCGGCGCGCGUACGGCGGCGAGUCGCCCUGGCUGACGGCGAUGGUGGGGGCAUCCGCGAUCGUCUCCGCCCCCCGCACGCCUCAUGCUCCGCCACCACGAGGUAUAUAUCGAGCGCGCAUUGCGAUUUUUCCUUUACCCUUCUGGGUUUUUGUUCUAGCUAGGCAGGGCGGUCGGCUAAUCACGCCGCCGAGAUCGCCGGAGUCCGGCGGCCGCCGCCUGCGUAGGCCCCCUUCUCCACCCAGCGUCUCAACUGGUCGACUCGGUGGCGACUCUCCACCCCCGCCUCCGCUUUCUCCUCCCCCGCUUUCAUCGAAGGGGACUCUUGCAAGCCCAAAAUCACCAACGUGAGCAACCAUUUCACUAUCUAGGAGAAUAUUGCUUGGCUUGAGAUCACAGUGAAUAAUUGGCAAUGGCCUAUGUUGGUGAAGAUAAUCAAGUGCAGAAACCACAUCAAUGGCAAUGUCGAGCCUUUUGAUGAUAUUUAAAACCUUGUCUUCCCCAUUUUCCUCAAGAUGCUGGUGUAGCCAUUGGUCCAAAUUUCCAUUUGGCAUGAACUCAUAUACAAGAGCCUUGAAGUCAUGGCCCUGAAAAUCAAUACUUGAGCAGACUGUUAGGAUCUUCACAAGAUUUCGAUGCCGAACACAUCUCAGAGCCUCACAUUCUGCAAUGAAGCUUUGAGAAGCCCCACGCUGUUGGAGAUUCAGCACUUUAACUGCAACAGUUACUUCUUGGUCUUGGAUCGUCAUUCGUCCUUUGUACACUGAUCCAAAGCUUCCUACUCCAAUGAGGUUAUCAGGAGCAAAAACAUUUGUUGCAUUGACUAAUUCAACAUAAGAUACUCUUAGAUGCGAAUCAUUGAUAAGUGCCAAGUCCGAUUUUGCUUGUGUCUUAUUCCUUUGCCAGAAUGCAAAUAGAGCUAAAAGCAAGAUAAGCAAUAGGAUUCCACUGCUUAUGGAAAUUGCUACGAUAAGCUUCAAAGACCGCUUUUUGGUGGAGUGAGUGGAGCAAAGAGGCAGCUUCAAAUCAGGUAUACCCCCACACAAGCCUUCAUUCCCUUCAAUUGCAGUUUCAUUUAUAUUGAGAAAUAUCCCAUCAUUAGGAACUGGCCCUUCAAAAUGGUUGAAUGAGAGGUUCAAACUAGCUAGGCCGUUCAUGCUUGCUAGAAAUUGAGGAAUGUCUCCAGAAAAGUUGUUGUGUGAAAGAUCAAGUACUUGAAGACCUUUCAGCCGACUCACUGAUGCUGGGAUUGGCCCUUGAAGGAAGUUCCCCUGUAUCUUAAAAUAUUGCAGGCUUUGACAAUCACCAAUAGAUGGAGGAAUUUCACCAGAAAUUUGGUUAUUAGAGAAAUCGAUGUCUGCAAUAUUUUUCAAGUUACUGAUUUCCAAUGGUAGUGACCCACUGAACAUGUUGCUUUGGAAGUACAUGAAAUCAGACAGGGUAGAUAUGAGAAAAACCUCCCUUGGAAUUGGACCGCUGAGCAUAUUGUGCUGAAUAUCAAUUUUUUCUAAAGUACAAUUUUUAAGAUCGGAUGGCAGAGGCCCACUAAGUGAAUUUUGUCCAAGAUAGAGUUUAUUCAACGAUGUGAGAUUACCAAGGGCAGGUGGAAUUUGGCCCAAUAGAUUAUUGAAUCCAAGGUCUAAAUGACUCAGCUUCCAGAGUGUACCAAGUGAGCUAGGAAUAUUACCCUCAAAAGAAUUGUUGCUCAUGAAAAGGUACAAUAAAUUAACAAGGUUUCCAAUUCCUUCAGGGAUCUUGCCACUUAUCAUGUUUUCGCUUAGGGCGAAAGCUUUCAAAUUUGUAGAAAGAUUUGCUACUGCAUUUGGUAGAGUCCCUCGAAAUUUGUUGCUGCUGAAAUCUAGAAACUCCAACUGACUACUAUUAGUUAAACUAGAAAGGAAUCCCCAACCAUAACUGUCAUUUGCCUGGAGUUGAUUGUUUUGAAUUGUCAGGACUGACAAACUAUUUAGGCCAUCAACGCAAGGAGGAACUACUCCUGAAAUCAUAUUCAUUUCUAUUGAAAAUGAGCUAAGCAUAGAAGAGUUGCACAUCCAAGUUGGAAUGGCACCCUCGAACUGAUUGUACCCUGCAUUAAAUAUUUGAAGCAAUGGGAAGUUGACUCUGUUGCCAGUUGGUAAUGAUCCUGUUAACUGGUUAUCCCGUACAUUGAAUAUUCUAAGAGAGGAGAGAUUGGAAAUGGAAGAAGGAAUGUACCCAGUGAGCUGAUUCCUAUCUAGGUACAAAUCUGUUAGAGAAUGAAGAUUUCCUAGGGAGGGAGGAAUGCUACCUGUAAGAUUGUUUUCAGCAAGAACAAGUCCAGAUAGCUUCUCAAGUUUUGCUAAUGAUUCAGGAAUUCCUCCAGUUAAUCUGUUCCCUCCCAAGCUUAGGUAAACUAGUGAAGAGAGGUUUCCUAGCCAAGAAGGGAUGCCACCAUGAAGGUUGUUUUCUUGCAAAAUUAGGGCAGUCAGAGAUGACAGUCCUUGCAAUGACACAAUCUCCCCCUGAAAUCUGUUAGUGCCAAGAUUAAGAAUGGUUAGUGAAGAUAGGUUCCCCAAGAACGUUGGAACUGGCCCUGAAAGUUGGUUCCCCCUCAGUUGCAAAUUCUUGAUCCUCUGAAGGUUACCAAGAGAAGAUGGAACUGAACCUGUCAAGUGAUUGUAGCUCAGGAUAAGACUUACUAGACUGGUGAGGUUUCCAAUCUCUGACGGAAUGCUUCCUGCAAGGCUGUUGUUGUAGAGGUUAAGGACCUCUAAGCUGCCCAGCUUACCUAUCAUGCGAGGCAUCGCUCCAUCAAGCAUGUUGUACUGCAACUGGACUGUGCGCAGCAUGGACAAAUCACCCAUGGCUGGAGGUAUCCCUCCUGAUAGGUGGUUGAAUGCCAGACUGAUGUUCUCAAGCUGUUGGCAUAGUGACAGUGAUGCCGGAAUGCCACCUUGCAGAGAAUUAUAGCUCAGGUUGACAUGCUGGAGGUCGAGAAGACGACCAAGCUCUGAAGGGAUGGUACCAGUUAGAUGAUUCACAGGGAGAUCAAGCUUUCUCAGGUAGGUGAGGUUGCCUAUGGAAGGAUCAAUGGUGCCAGAAAGAUCAAGGUUGCUGAGGUCCAGCGCCACCACACGGCCACGGCAGCGUCCCUGGAUGCCGCACGUCACACCUCGCCAUUGGCAGACAUGGAGCGAUUGGUUGCCACCCCACGAGGCCAUUGCUGACGACGGAUCACGGGUUAUUUGCGACUUGAAGGCCAUCAGUGCAAGGUGGUCGGUGGCAGGCUGAGCUCUGGUCGUGGGAGCUGGUGGAACAGCAGUUGCAAGGAGCAGCAGCGUGAGCAAGAAAGAAAACCCGGUCGCCACCAUUGCUAGAAAGAAGGAAGCGAGGUCUGUAUUUUCAAAAACAGAAGCUUAGGUGGUGAUUGCAGAGGCUACUCAGUCCAGCUUUACCAGUUCAUGGGAGGAAUGGUUGCUUCUGCUCUAUAGAGACAACACAUAUUCUCCUGCCUGAAUAUAAGCAUGGUGUGUUGGUCGUCAAGAUAAAUCAAUAGCUUGGAUCCCAAUCAAGUUGACACUUUCUCAGGUAGUACCUGCACUUUGGUCAACACCCUUCAGUUGUAGUAAAUUGAUUACCAACAUUCUGUUCUGUUGCAACUUUAGUCAAUCAUCAGAUAGCCGGCCUCCUACCAGAAGUUUACAGGUUCCCUGGUCAAACUUUGCUGCCAGCUUGUUUGGGUUAAAGACAGAAGGAUGAAUUAGGCCGGCUGGCUGGCUGGCCGGCCUUGAUUUGUCCUUUAUGAAACAUUUCUACGCAUAAUUUACGGAACAAUAUUAAAGGUCUUCCGUUGUUCCCAUAUAUCUGGUGUAGAAGAGCUGAGCUGUGCGUGUCAAUUAUUUGACGUUGAUGGCAAAUUGGCAAUAUGGUGCUAUGCUACUAUAGUGUACUUAUACAAUAAGGAAUAUAGCCAUCGGAGGGGAAGCAUUCUCAUUUGGACUGCACAUAUCAACUAAUUUGGACUGCAUAUGCUGCUCGCAGGUAUGAGUAAUGACACAGACU
Molecule: long non-coding RNA, 4116 nt
Filed under: Oryza sativa Indica Group (long-grained rice)
Lineage: Eukaryota; Viridiplantae; Streptophyta; Magnoliopsida; Poales; Poaceae
Description: lncRNA OsZS97_02G008580
Source: RNAcentral